Molecule: ribosomal RNA, 406 nt
Filed under: Legionella pneumophila
Lineage: Bacteria; Pseudomonadati; Pseudomonadota; Gammaproteobacteria; Legionellales; Legionellaceae
Description: bacterial SSU rRNA
Rfam family: Bacterial small subunit ribosomal RNA
Source: RNAcentral
UGGGUUGAUAGGUUAAGAGCUGAUUAACUGGACGUUACCCACAGAAGAAGCACCGGCUAACUCCGUGCCAGCAGCCGCGGUAAUACGGAGGGUGCGAGCGUUAAUCGGAAUUACUGGGCGUAAAGGGUGCGUAGGUGGUUGAUUAAGUUAUCUGUGAAAUUCCUGGGCUUAACCUGGGACGGUCAGAUAAUACUGGUUGACUCGAGUAUGGGAGAGGGUAGUGGAAUUUCCGGUGUAGCGGUGAAAUGCGUAGAGAUCGGAAGGAACACCAGUGGCGAAGGCGGCUACCUGGCCUAAUACUGACACUGAGGCACGAAAGCGUGGGGAGCAAACAGGAUUAGAUACCCUGGUAGUCCACGCUGUAAACGAUGUCAACUAGCUGUUGGUUAUAUGAAAAUAAUUAGUG